UACGUAGGUGGCAAGCGUUGUCCGGAUUUACUGGGCGUAAAGAGCGCGCAGGCGGUCGGAUUAGUCGCGUGUGAAAGCCCCCGGCUCAACUGGGGAGGGUCACGCGAUACUGUUCGACUCGAAGGCAGGAGAGGGAAGUGGAAUUCCCGGUGUAGUGGUGAAAUGCGUAGAUAUCGGGAGGAACACCAGUGGCGAAGGCGGUUCUCUGGGCAUUACCUGACGCUGAGGAGCGAAAGUGUGGGGAGCGAACAGG
This 253-nucleotide ribosomal RNA is filed under the name uncultured bacterium. RNAcentral describes it as "partial 16S ribosomal RNA". It matches the Rfam family "Bacterial small subunit ribosomal RNA", at positions 524 to 776 of the family's 1533-position model. The record is from RNAcentral.